This 497-nucleotide long non-coding RNA is filed under the name Panicum hallii. RNAcentral describes it as "long non-coding RNA (PHAL_LNC000789)". Lineage: Eukaryota; Viridiplantae; Streptophyta; Magnoliopsida; Poales; Poaceae. The record is from RNAcentral.
CCAAGUGGAGGGGAGACGCCCGGCCUGCCAGCCGCACCGGCUCGCAGCCGCGCUGGCCCGCGAGGAGGGGCAGGCAGAGGAGCGCCGCACAGGCCUCUCGCGAGGCAGCCAGCCAAAAAAAACCGCCGCUUCCACAGCAAACGGCCUCCGCCAAGGCAAAAAUCGCCGUCACCGCCUCCUGCAACUGCCGCCGCCGCUCCCCCAAGUCCCGCACCAGAUCCCCGGCGGUCGGAGCCGCGGCGGUCUGUUCUCGUUCUGUUCCGUGGGCAGCGAUGUUCCGGCGACGGGACGGCAUCGAGGAGGGGCGGAGCAGGCGCGCGACGGCUUGGGGAUGCCCGAUGUGGCCUCGGCUGCGGGGACGACGGCUGCAGCGAAAUAGACGGCCGACGGUGGCGCUCGGUCCUUCGAUGGCGGCUCGCUCCUGGGCGACGACGGCGCACCGCGCGAGCGAGGGGAGCGCGCGGCAGAAGGGAAGCAGGGCAGGGCGUGGGGCCGAG